CCGGGUUAGAGUUUUGGAAUCGAACCGGGGAACUGAACCGGAUAAACGGUUAUGACAGAGAAUAACGUUGGACAACGCCGGCAACGCUCCGAUGGCCGGAGGAAUACUCCCGGAUAACUGAUUGUAACUGAGAUCCAGCGUUUGCAACCCCCGGAGCUUCCCAAGCCCCGCCGGAAUCCCGCCGGAGAGAAAAUUCCGGCUGAUUCCAAGAAACCUGAGAUUCUGCAACUCCGACAAGAUUUCCGGCAAUGCACCGGUUAUCCUCCCCGGAACAACACUAAACUCAGCCAACCCAGAAAGUUUCCCAAUCGCCGGAUCAAUCCUUCCAGUCAAUCCCGGCGACCCAGCUCUGGGAUCACCGAGAUUCAACGCGACAACCUUAUCCCCCUCGCAGAAAACUCCGGCGAAGCCACAGGGAUCCGAAGUAAAAUCCCAGGACCCAAAAUAAUUCGACCCAGGCAAAUCAUCCAAGCUUUUCCGAACCGCUUGUAAAGCCAAGAAAUCCACAGGGUCAAGAAUCGCAAAAACUGCAAAGAACCUAACAAGAAGACAAACAAGGAAGAAGAAGAAUCUAAGCAUUGUGUACCCGAUUUUUCAAGAAACAGAGAGCAGAAGAUGAAGAAAAGAAAGCUCUUUUUUUCCCAGAUUUCUUUCUUCUGGGAGAGAAGUGAAGAUGUUGGAAAGGGCAAUAAGUGGUGGCGAUGCUACUAUGUUGUGUCAGUGUGUUGCGCUUUUAGGUGGAGGAGAGGACACAGAAAAUCUGUUUUGCUUCGUUUAUUAAUGAAAAAUUAUGUACGUAAAUAUUGUGGAGUUCGAGGGAUAAACGGUUGUCCGAGCCUACGUGGAUGUCCGAAGCUGGGAGUUUAGGUGACAGAUAAGCAGGCUCGAGUUUUGAGGAAGAUGACCACGUAACCUUUUUGUCUUUAUGCUUAGGAGUUGGAGAAAUGAAAAGCGUGCCUUGUUUAUUAGAUUAUAGAUUAGACUUUAGAGGAAUAAAAAACUAAAUAAAAAUUGAGAAUGAUGUUUUUUCGUUAGGAAUUGAGUAAGACUUGUGUAAGACUGUCUCACGAGUUUCACUUCAUAAUUUUUAUUUAUUUAGUACUUGUGAA
Molecule: long non-coding RNA, 1109 nt
Organism: Ipomoea triloba (trilobed morning glory)
Lineage: Eukaryota; Viridiplantae; Streptophyta; Magnoliopsida; Solanales; Convolvulaceae
Exons: 2
Source: RefSeq, a predicted model, not a curated record